GUAGUCUCGCACAGAUGCAUAUCAAUAAGCGGAGGAAAAGAAACUAACAGGAUUCCCCUAGUAACGGCGAGUGGAGCGGGAAGAGCUCAAAUUUGAAAUCUUAAAGGGUUUCCCUUUACGAAUUGUAGUUUAAAGAAGUGUUUUCUGUUGAGGUUUUGGUAAAAGUUCUUUGGAAUAGGACAUCAUAGAGGGUGAGAAUCCCGUAUUUGACCUUUACUUUCAACUUUGUGAUACACUUUCAAAGAGUCGGAUUGUUUGGGAAUGCAGUCCAAAAUGGGUGGUAAAUUUCAUCUAAAGCUAAAUAUUGGCGAGAGACCGAUAGCGAACAAGUACCUGUGAGGGAAAGUAUGAAAAGAACUUUGAAAAGAGAGUUAAACAGUACGUGAAAUUGUCAAAAGGGAAGCGUUUGACACCAGUGUUGUUUUUCUGAAAAUCAAUUAAAGAACUGUUUAUGCUAAGCUUGUUUAGACUUUAUCAGCUAUCUGCUUAGUUUUGAGCUUUUCUUUAAUGCACUUUUCAGUUAACAAGUCAACAUCAAUUUCUUUUGCUGUAAAAAAGCUUGAGGAAGGUGGCUUGAGAUUCGUCUUAAGUGUUUAUAGCCUCUUGCCUAUGCAGUCGGAGAGAUUGAGGUCUGCAGCGUAGAUCCUUCGGGGCUAAAUGCAUUUGUGCUAAGUUAUAGCAUUUUAUAGACAACUUGUUGACUAUGAUUUGUCUUGUAGCUUACUCGCUUAUGUUAUUUUACCUACGCUUAGGAUGUUGAUAUCGCGCUCUCACUG
This 776-nucleotide ribosomal RNA is filed under the name uncultured Neocallimastigales. RNAcentral describes it as "partial large subunit ribosomal RNA". It matches the Rfam family "Eukaryotic large subunit ribosomal RNA", at positions 24 to 645 of the family's 3401-position model. The record is from RNAcentral. Lineage: Eukaryota; Fungi; Neocallimastigomycota; Neocallimastigomycetes; Neocallimastigales.